GAUCCUGGCUCAGGAUGAACGCUAGCUACAGGCUUAACACAUGCAAGUCGAGGGGAAACGAUAUUGGAAGCUUGCUUCCGAUAGGCGUCGACCGGCGCACGGGUGAGUAACGCGUAUCCAACCUGCCCAUCACUUGGGGAUAACCCUUGCGAAAGUAAGACUAAUACCCAAUGAUAUCUCUAGAAGACAUCUGAAAGGGAUUAAAGAUUUAUCGGUGAUGGAUGGGGAUGCGU
This 233-nucleotide ribosomal RNA is filed under the name uncultured bacterium. Its description in RNAcentral is "partial 16S ribosomal RNA". It matches the Rfam family "Bacterial small subunit ribosomal RNA", at positions 15 to 236 of the family's 1533-position model. The record is from RNAcentral.